RNAcentral lists this long non-coding RNA (403 nucleotides) under Elaeis guineensis (African oil palm). RNAcentral's name for it is "long non-coding RNA (EGUI_LNC082081)". Lineage: Eukaryota; Viridiplantae; Streptophyta; Magnoliopsida; Arecales; Arecaceae. The record is from RNAcentral.
CAUCUUUUUUGUAAUUUUUUGAAUCAAACAGUAGAUGGAGGCCAUCCAUCCUUCUAAUUUUAUCCAUCUAUUUUCUUAUAAUCCAACCAAAUACAGAGUUAACACGAACCAUUUGCUUUUAAGGUUAAGGUUCACACUUCAGCCAUUGGCCCCUUCUCAUCGAUACAGGAGAAACUAUUAGAUACAAUAUCCUCCCACAUAGAAUAUAGGCAAAGCAAUAAUAACUCCACACAAUAAUAACUCCACACAUCACCUAUUCCAUUUGGUUUCCCAUGCAAUAAGAAACCAUCACAUCAUCAAUUAUUAAAAAAUAUAUAUUGUUAUCAAAAUUUGAUCGAAAUUUUUGAACUGAAAAAAAUUUUGCUAUUAAACCAUGAUUAAUCAUGGUUUAGUAGAGAAAAAA